RNAcentral lists this ribosomal RNA (253 nucleotides) under uncultured bacterium. RNAcentral describes it as "partial 16S ribosomal RNA". It matches the Rfam family "Bacterial small subunit ribosomal RNA", at positions 524 to 776 of the family's 1533-position model. The record is from RNAcentral.
UACGUAGGGUGCGAGCGUUGUCCGGAAUUAUUGGGCGUAAAGGGCUCGUAGGCGGUUUGUCGCGUCGGGAGUGAAAACACGGGGCUUAACCCCGUGCCUGCUUCCGAUACGGGCAGACUAGAGGUAUGCAGGGGAGAACGGAAUUCCUGGUGUAGCGGUGAAAUGCGCAGAUAUCAGGAGGAACACCGGUGGCGAAGGCGGUUCUCUGGGCAUUAACUGACGCUGAGGAGCGAAAGCAUGGGGAGCGAACAGG